Molecule: ribosomal RNA, 449 nt
Filed under: uncultured bacterium
Lineage: Bacteria
Description: partial 16S ribosomal RNA
Rfam family: Bacterial small subunit ribosomal RNA
Source: RNAcentral
AACGAACGCUGGCGGCAUGCCUAACACAAGCAAGUCGAACGAGAUCUUCGGGUCUAGUGGCGCACGGGUGCGUAACGCGUGGGAAUCUGCCCUUUGGUUCGGAAUAACAGUUGGAAACGACUGCUAAUACCGGAUGAUGACGAAAGUCCAAAGAUUUAUCGCCAGAGGAUGAGCCCGCGUAGGAUUAGCUAGUUGGUGUGGUAAAGGCGCACCAAGGCGACGGUCCUUAGCUGGUCUGCGAGGAUGAUCAGCCACACUGGGACUGAGACACGGCCCAGACUCCUACGGGAGGCAGCAGUGGGGAAUAUUGGGCAAUGGGCGAUAGCCUGACCCAGCACUGCCGCGUCAGUGAUGAAGGCCUUAGGGUUGUAAAGCUCUUUUACCCGGGAUGAUAAUGACAGUACCGGGAGAAUACGCUCCGGCUAACUCCGUGCCAGCCGCCGCCGUAA